This is a non-coding RNA of Caenorhabditis elegans, 146 nucleotides long. Lineage: Eukaryota; Metazoa; Nematoda; Chromadorea; Rhabditida; Rhabditidae. The record is from Ensembl.
GCUCUAGUGAAAGACGGUAUAUCGCAGCCAAAGAAUAAUCGUCUUGUUCAACACGCGAUUUAUUUGCAUUGGAUGAAGUAUUUGACUGUGGGAAUAUUGACCUUAGAUUUCUUUCCCUCUCUUUUUUUCGUCUGCCAAUCUUCAUC